AUGUACCCCCGUACACUCCGGUUUCUCCGCGCCGUCCGCACCCACCUGACGGCUGCUCGCUACGUUUUGUUAGCC
RNAcentral lists this small RNA (75 nucleotides) under Xanthomonas campestris. RNAcentral's name for it is "sX9 sRNA". It matches the Rfam family "Xanthomonas sRNA sX9". The record is from RNAcentral. RNAcentral also lists the same sequence under 2 other names. Lineage: Bacteria; Pseudomonadati; Pseudomonadota; Gammaproteobacteria; Lysobacterales; Lysobacteraceae.